This 301-nucleotide ribosomal RNA is filed under the name uncultured bacterium. RNAcentral describes it as "partial 16S ribosomal RNA". It matches the Rfam family "Bacterial small subunit ribosomal RNA", at positions 509 to 807 of the family's 1533-position model. The record is from RNAcentral.
CAGUCGCCGCGGGAAAACGUAGGUGGCAAGCGUUGUCCGGAAUUAUUGGGCGUAAAGGGCUCGCAGGCGGUUUCUUAAGUCUGAUGUGAAAGCCCCCGGCUCAACCGGGGAGGGUCAUUGGAAACUGGGAAACUUGAGUGCAGAGGAGGAGAGUGGAAUUCCACGUGUAGCGGUGAAAUGCGUAGAGAUGUGGAGGAACACCAGUGGCGAAGGCGACUCUCUGGUCUGUAACUGACGCUGAGGAGCGAAAGCGUGGGGAGCGAACAGGAUUAGAUACCCCUGUAGUCCCUGUCUCUUAUAC